Molecule: ribosomal RNA, 1538 nt
Filed under: Escherichia coli
Lineage: Bacteria; Pseudomonadati; Pseudomonadota; Gammaproteobacteria; Enterobacterales; Enterobacteriaceae
Description: bacterial SSU rRNA
Rfam family: Bacterial small subunit ribosomal RNA
Source: RNAcentral
UUGAAGAGUUUGAUCAUGGCUCAGAUUGAACGCUGGCGGCAGGCCUAACACAUGCAAGUCGAACGGUAACAGAAAGCAGCUUGCUGCUUUGCUGACGAGUGGCGGACGGGUGAGUAAUGUCUGGGAAACUGCCUGAUGGAGGGGGAUAACUACUGGAAACGGUAGCUAAUACCGCAUAAUGUCGCAAGACCAAAGAGGGGGACCUUCGGGCCUCUUGCCAUCGGAUGUGCCCAGAUGGGAUUAGCUUGUUGGUGGGGUAACGGCUCACCAAGGCGACGAUCCCUAGCUGGUCUGAGAGGAUGACCAGCCACACUGGAACUGAGACACGGUCCAGACUCCUACGGGAGGCAGCAGUGGGGAAUAUUGCACAAUGGGCGCAAGCCUGAUGCAGCCAUGCCGCGUGUAUGAAGAAGGCCUUCGGGUUGUAAAGUACUUUCAGCGGGGAGGAAGGGAGUAAAGUUAAUACCUUUGCUCAUUGACGUUACCCGCAGAAGAAGCACCGGCUAACUCCGUGCCAGCAGCCGCGGUAAUACGGAGGGUGCAAGCGUUAAUCGGAAUUACUGGGCGUAAAGCGCACGCAGGCGGUUUGUUAAGUCAGAUGUGAAAUCCCCGGGCUCAACCUGGGAACUGCAUCUGAUACUGGCAAGCUUGAGUCUCGUAGAGGGGGGUAGAAUUCCAGGUGUAGCGGUGAAAUGCGUAGAGAUCUGGAGGAAUACCGGUGGCGAAGGCGGCCCCCUGGACGAAGACUGACGCUCAGGUGCGAAAGCGUGGGGAGCAAACAGGAUUAGAUACCCUGGUAGUCCACGCCGUAAACGAUGUCGACUUGGAGGUUGUGCCCUUGAGGCGUGGCUUCCGGAGCUAACGCGUUAAGUCGACCGCCUGGGGAGUACGGCCGCAAGGUUAAAACUCAAAUGAAUUGACGGGGGCCCGCACAAGCGGUGGAGCAUGUGGUUUAAUUCGAUGCAACGCGAAGAACCUUACCUGGUCUUGACAUCCACGGAAGUUUUCAGAGAUGAGAAUGUGCCUUCGGGAACCGUGAGACAGGUGCUGCAUGGCUGUCGUCAGCUCGUGUUGUGAAAUGUUGGGUUAAGUCCCGCAACGAGCGCAACCCUUAUCCUUUGUUGCCAGCGGUCCGGCCGGGAACUCAAAGGAGACUGCCAGUGAUAAACUGGAGGAAGGUGGGGAUGACGUCAAGUCAUCAUGGCCCUUACGACCAGGGCUACACACGUGCUACAAUGGCGCAUACAAAGAGAAGCGACCUCGCGAGAGCAAGCGGACCUCAUAAAGUGCGUCGUAGUCCGGAUUGGAGUCUGCAACUCGACUCCAUGAAGUCGGAAUCGCUAGUAAUCGUGGAUCAGAAUGCCACGGUGAAUACGUUCCCGGGCCUUGUACACACCGCCCGUCACACCAUGGGAGUGGGUUGCAAAAGAAGUAGGUAGCUUAACCUUCGGGAGGGCGCUUACCACUUUGUGAUUCAUGACUGGGGUGAAGUCGUAACAAGGUAACCGUAGGGGAACCUGCGGUUGGAUCACCUCCUU